CCAGAGGCCUGAAAGUUAGCACCUUUGAUAGCUCUUUUAACGGGCUCCAUAGGUGUGAAUUACCACCAGUGUGCCCCUCCUAACUUCUUACCUUAGCUAACCAGUCUGCAGAAUUUGUUAAGUUACUUGAUGGAAAGUAUAAAAGUAUAUAUUCUUUUUCUUAGACCAUAUUCACAUACAUCCAAAUACCCCACUGAAUUCAAUUAAGAUAGUGAAAUGUUCUUAAGAAUAUAAUCAAAUAAAAUGUCCUGGGCUUUCUUGCAGAAGGCUACUGACUUAAAAAUAAUUCAUGGUGUUUUGAAUCGGUUGAUGUAUUUAUUUGCACUCCUGUAGUAAUUUACAGUCAUGAAAGCUAAAUUGUGACUUAACUUUUUUCCCCUGUCAGUAGGCUUUUACAGAUUUAUUGACCAGAUGUCCUGGAAGUGCCCCCUGAUGCAGACCCAGUUGUUUGGUAGCCACCCACGCACGUUGACACAGCCCCCAGCAGUGGGCACCCAUGGGGAUGGACCCAGGAGUGGAGGAUGACCCAAUAGGUGGUGGGUAGCCACCCAUGCACGUUGACACAACCAGCAGCGAGUACCCAGGGCGAUGGACCCAGAAGUGGAGGAUGAUCCAAUAGGUGUGAGGAAAAGACGCAUACUAGAGGGAGUCGAGGACUUGGCUGGCCUACAAAAUGUCACUAAGGGAUGCAACUGACAGCUGAAGUAGGAUCUUUUUUGUUUUUUGGCCAUGACAAUGCUUUGACAGUUGAUAAUAAACUGAUAAUUACGAUA
This is a long non-coding RNA of Engraulis encrasicolus (European anchovy), 773 nucleotides long. RefSeq lists it as uncharacterized. The transcript has 4 exons. Lineage: Eukaryota; Metazoa; Chordata; Actinopteri; Clupeiformes; Engraulidae. The record is from RefSeq and is a predicted model, not a curated record.